RNAcentral lists this ribosomal RNA (283 nucleotides) under uncultured prokaryote. RNAcentral's name for it is "partial 16S ribosomal RNA". It matches the Rfam family "Bacterial small subunit ribosomal RNA", at positions 524 to 803 of the family's 1533-position model. The record is from RNAcentral.
UACGUAGGGUGCGAGCGUUGUCCGGAAUUAUUGGGCGUAAAGGGCUCGUAGGCGGCCUGUUGCGUCUGCCGUGAAAGCCCGGGGCUUAACUCCGGGUAUGCGGUGGAUACGGGCAGGCUAGAGUUCGGUAGGGGAGACUGGAAUUCCUGGUGUAGCGGUGAAAUGCGCAGAUAUCAGGAGGAACACCGGUGGCGAAGGCGGGUCUCUGGGCCGACACUGACGCUGAGGAGCGAAAGCGUGGGGAGCGAAACAGGAUUAGAUACCCCGGUAGUCCCUGAGCGGG